AUGUAUAUUCCUGCAACAUAGCAUUAAUGCACCAGAUCCCAUUAGAACUCUGCAGUUGAGCGCGCUCGGGCUAGAGUAGUAUUGGGAUGGGUGACCGCUCGGGAAGUCCUAAUAUUUUACAUG
This is a non-coding RNA of Picea glauca (white spruce), 123 nucleotides long. NCBI's taxonomy places the organism in Eukaryota, Viridiplantae, Streptophyta, Pinopsida, Pinales, Pinaceae. The record is from Rfam.